RNAcentral lists this ribosomal RNA (109 nucleotides) under Oryctolagus cuniculus (rabbit). Lineage: Eukaryota; Metazoa; Chordata; Mammalia; Lagomorpha; Leporidae. The record is from RNAcentral.
GUCUACGGCUAUACCACCCUGAACGUGCCUGAGCUCCUCUGAUCUCAGAAGCUAAGCAGGGUCGGGCCUGGUUAGCACUUGGAUGGGAGAAAAGGCACUCCUGUAGCUA